GACGAACGCUGGCGGCGUGCUUAACACAUGCAAGUCGAGCGGUAAGGCCCUUUCGGGGGUACACGAGCGGCGAACGGGUGAGUAACACGUGGGUGACCUGCCCUCAGCUCUGGGAUAAGCCUGGGAAACCGGGUCUAAUACCGGAUAUGACUCCAUGACGCAUGUUGUGGGGUGGAAAGCCUUGUGCGGCUGAGGAUGGGCCCGCGGCCUAUCAGCUUGUGGUGGGGUGAUGGCCUACCAAGGCGACGACGGGUAGCCGGCCUGAGAGGGCGACCGGCCACACUGGGACUGAGACACGGCCCAGACUCCUACGGGAGGCAGCA
RNAcentral lists this ribosomal RNA (323 nucleotides) under uncultured bacterium. Its description in RNAcentral is "bacterial SSU rRNA". It matches the Rfam family "Bacterial small subunit ribosomal RNA", at positions 28 to 353 of the family's 1533-position model. The record is from RNAcentral.